Molecule: ribosomal RNA, 492 nt
Filed under: uncultured bacterium
Lineage: Bacteria
Description: partial 16S ribosomal RNA
Rfam family: Bacterial small subunit ribosomal RNA
Source: RNAcentral
AGUGAACGCUGGCGGUAGGCCUAACACAUACAAGUCGAACGGCAGCACAGUAAGAGCUUGCUCUUACGGGUGGCGAGUGGCGGACGGGUGAGGAAUACAUCGGAAUCUACUUUUUCGUGGGGGAUAACGUAGGGAAACUUACGCUAAUACCGCGUACGACCUACGGGUGAAAGCAGGGGAUCUUCGGACCUUGCGCGAUUGAAUGAGCCGAUGUCGGAUUAGCUAGUUGGCGGGGUAAAGGCCCACCAAGGCGACGAUCCGUAGCUGGUCUGAGAGGAUGAUCAGCCACACUGGAACUGAGACACGGUCCAGACUCCUACGGGAGGCAGCAGUGGGGAAUAUUGGACAAUGGGCGCAAGCCUGAUCCAGCCAUACCGCGUGGGUGAAGAAGGCCUUCGGGUUGUAAAGCCCUUUUGUUGGGAAAGAAAAGCAGCAGGUUAAUACCCCGCUGUUCUGACGGUACCCAAAGAAUAAGCACCGGCUAACUUCGUG